CCUACUGGGGGCUGCAGUGGGGAAUAUUGGACAAUGGGGGCAACCCUGAUCCAGCCAUGCCGCGUGUGUGAAGAAGGCCCUCGGGUUGUAAAGCACUUUCAGUGAGGAAGAACGCCUGGUGGUUAAUACCCAUCAGGAAAGACAUCACUCACAGAAGAAGCACCGGCUAACUCCGUGCCAGCAGCCGCGGUAAUACGGAGGGUGCGAGCGUUAAUCGGAAUUACUGGGCGUAAAGCGCGCGUAGGUGGCUUGAUAAGCCGGUUGUGAAAGCCCCGGGCUCAACCUGGGAACGGCAUCCGGAACUGUCAAGCUAGAGUGCAGGAGAGGAAGGUAGAAUUCCCGGUGUAGCGGUGAAAUGCGUAGAGAUCGGGAGGAAUACCAGUGGCGAAGGCGGCCUUCUGGACUGACACUGACACUGAGGUGCGAAAGCGUGGGUAGCAAACAGGAUUAGAUACCCUUGUAGUC
RNAcentral lists this ribosomal RNA (465 nucleotides) under Vreelandella stevensii. RNAcentral's name for it is "partial 16S ribosomal RNA". It matches the Rfam family "Bacterial small subunit ribosomal RNA", at positions 338 to 795 of the family's 1533-position model. The record is from RNAcentral. Lineage: Bacteria; Pseudomonadati; Pseudomonadota; Gammaproteobacteria; Oceanospirillales; Halomonadaceae.